CGCCUAACAACUAGCCUACACAGCCAACAACAACAAAAACCUUUUAAUACCCCCAAAAGCACCUACCAUAAUCAACCAAACCAUUUUUUCUCCUAAGUAUUAGCGACAGAAAAGGAUCAAAGAGCAAUAGAAGAAGUACCGCAAGGGAAAGCUGAAAGAGAAAUGAAAUUAACCCAUAUAAGCCCUAAGAAGCAGAGAUUAAACCUCGUACCUUUUGCAUCAUGAUUUAGCCAGUGAGCCCCGAGCAAAGAGAACUUUAGUUUGAUGACCCGAAACUAGUAUGAGCUACUCCAAGACAGCCUAAUUUAAGGGCGAACCCGUCUCUGUGGCAAAAGAGUGGGAAGAGCUUUGAGUAGAGGUGACAGACCUACCGAAUCUAGUUAUAGCUGGUUGCCUGGGAAUUGGAUAGAAGUUCAGCCUCCCAAAUUCUCGACUAAAACAUAUAUCCCAAAUCAAAAUACAAGCAGAAUUCGCGAGUGUUAGUCAAAGGAGGAACAGCCCCUUUGACACAAGAUACAACUUUCCCUAGCAGGGUAAAGAUCAAAAUAUUUUGAAGGUAACUAAUUUUGGUGGGCCUAAAAGCAGCCAUCCCCUUAGAAAGCGUUAAAGCUCAAAUUUACAAGACCCCCUAUAUUUCGACUACAAAAUCUAAACCCCCUAAUUUUACCAGGCCGCCCCAUGCAAGCAUGGGGGCGACCAUGCUAAUAUGAGUAAUAAGAGAGACACGUCUCUCUCCUUGCACGCAUGUAAACCGGAAUGGACCAACCACCGAAAAUUAACGUCCCCAAACAAAGAGGGCAUUGAUCUUGACAACCGCCUCACCAGAAAAACACCCAAUAAACUAACGUUAACCCCACACAGGCGUGCCCACAAGGAAAGACUAAAAAAGAAAGAAGGAACUCGGCAAACACACCAAGCCUCGCCUGUUUACCAAAAACAUCACCUCUUGAAAAAUAAAUAUAAGAGGCCCCGCCUGCCCAGUGACUUAUGUUCAACGGCCGCGGUAUUUUGACCGUGCAAAGGUAGCGCAAUAACUUGUCCUUUAAAUGGAGACUAGUAUGAAUGGCAUCACGAGGGCUUAUCUGUCUCCUUUUUUAAGUCAAUGAAAUUGAUCUUCCCGUGCAAAAGCGGGAAUAUAAACAUAAGACGAGAAGACCCUGUGGAGCUUUAGACACCAAGACAGAUCACGUUAAUAAUGCCUUAAUAAAGGCUUAAACUAAGAGAACCCUGCUCUGAUGUCUUUGGUUGGGGCGACCGCGGAGAACAAAAAAACCUCCCCUCCGCGUGGAAUGGGGGUACUAACCUAAACUUCCCCCCACAACCGAGAGUUACAACUCAAAUUAACAGGACUUUCUGACCUCUACGAUCCGGCCGAUCAGCCGAUUAACGAACCGAGUUACCCCAGGGAUAACAGCGCAAUCCCCUUUUAGAGUCCAUAUCGACAAGGGGGUUUACGACCUCGAUGUUGGAUCAGGACAUCCUAAUGGUGCAACCGCUAUUAAGGGUUCGUUUGUUCAACGAUUAAAGUCCUACGUGAUCUGAGUUCAGACCGGAGAAAUCCAGGUCAGUUUCUAUCUAUGAAGUAUUUUUUUCUAGUACGAAAGGACCGAGAAAAAGAGGCCCCUACUCCAAGUACGCCUCCUCCUCACCUAUUGAAAACAACUAAAAUAGCUAAGAGGAUAAUAUCAGCUGCACCUGAGAAAAAGGU
RNAcentral lists this ribosomal RNA (1708 nucleotides) under Cociella crocodilus (crocodile flathead). RNAcentral describes it as "16S ribosomal RNA". It matches the Rfam family "Bacterial large subunit ribosomal RNA". Lineage: Eukaryota; Metazoa; Chordata; Actinopteri; Perciformes; Platycephalidae. The record is from RNAcentral.